AUGUGGUACUCCAACACGGCUGAAAAGACGGUCGUCUGGAGCGCGAACCAUCUCCACCCAGUGUACUUCCGGGGAUCCCGAGUCACGCUAGAUGCGGAUGGCCGACUGGCCGUAGAAGACUACGAUGGCCUGCCGGUCUGGGCGAACAGUGUGACGUCUUCUUCGAAUGCCAAGCAAGCUCAGUUGUUGGACACGGGGAACCUCGUCGUCAAGGGCCAAGGUGAUAACAUUGUUUGGCAAAGCUUCCAUUCUCCUACCGACACAUUGCUGCCAUAUCAGAACAUUACUAGUGCUACAAAGUUGGUAUCUUCUAGUAGGCUACUUGUCCCUGGGCACUACAGCUUCCGUUUUGAUGAUGAACAUAUACUCACACUGUUUGACGAUGAGAAGGAUAUCUCUUUUAAAUAUUGGCCAGAUCCUAGUAAUGAUAUAUGGACAAAGAACAGACGUGCUUUUAAUACCACCACAAUUGGGGUCCUUGAUAGUUCGGGGUAUUUUCUUGGAAGUGACAAUUUAAAUUUUAAGGCUGUUGACUGGGGUCAGGGGGUUACGAGGAGAUUAACACUGGAUUAUGAUGGCAACCUUAGAUUAUACAGUCUAAAUAAGACAGAUGGAAGAUGGUUGGUCACAUGGAUGGCAUAUCCUCAGACCUGCUCGGUACGCGGUCUUUGUGGCAUUAAUGGAAUAUGUGUGUACACACCCAAGCCUGCUUGUGCAUGUGCCCCUGGACAUGAGGUCAUCAACCCAAGUGACCGGAGCCAAGGUUGCAGACCAACAUUCAAUCUUAGUUGUGAUGGGCAGGAGAUAUUUUUGAAGCUACCCACCGCUGACUUCCACGGUAAUGAUCUAAGUGAGCAUGUUAGAGUUUCACGUUAUGAGUGCAAGAAGAUAUGCUCGAAGGACUGCAAUUGCAAAGGUUUUGCAUACUGGCAAGGAACCGGGCGUUGCUAUCCAAAGUGGUCCCUUGUUGGGGGUGUAACCGGGUCGGCUGUUAGUGGUGGUUCUAUCUAUCUCAAGAUUCCUAAGACACUACGGGUCAGAGAGUCAUCAAUUCCUCACUCGCAACCUUUUGGUCCUAGAUAUGUUCCUAAUUGUAGUGCAAAGAGCGACAACUUCACUCCAGAUUUUGGGGAUCAACCUUAG
RNAcentral lists this ribosomal RNA (1143 nucleotides) under Triticum aestivum (bread wheat). Its description in RNAcentral is "partial small subunit ribosomal RNA". Lineage: Eukaryota; Viridiplantae; Streptophyta; Magnoliopsida; Poales; Poaceae. The record is from RNAcentral.